Molecule: transfer RNA, 83 nt
Filed under: Tilletia horrida
Lineage: Eukaryota; Fungi; Basidiomycota; Exobasidiomycetes; Tilletiales; Tilletiaceae
Description: tRNA-Ile
Rfam family: tRNA
About the family: Transfer RNA (tRNA) molecules are approximately 80 nucleotides in length. Their secondary structure includes four short double-helical elements and three loops (D, anti-codon, and T loops).
Source: RNAcentral
UCCCGGGUCGUCUAAUGGUCAGGACAUGUCGUUUAUGGUUCACUGCAACCGAUGAAAUCCGGGUUCGACUCCCGGCUCGGGAA